Molecule: transfer RNA, 73 nt
Filed under: Camelus bactrianus (Bactrian camel)
Lineage: Eukaryota; Metazoa; Chordata; Mammalia; Artiodactyla; Camelidae
Also listed under: 2 other names
Rfam family: tRNA
About the family: Transfer RNA (tRNA) molecules are approximately 80 nucleotides in length. Their secondary structure includes four short double-helical elements and three loops (D, anti-codon, and T loops).
Source: Rfam by way of RNAcentral
GAGGGUAUAGCUCAAGUGGUAGAGCACAUGCUUAGCAUGCACAGGGUCCUGGGUUCAAUCCCCAGUACCUCCU